Molecule: ribosomal RNA, 250 nt
Filed under: Ctenophora environmental sample
Lineage: Eukaryota; Metazoa; Ctenophora
Description: partial Bacterial large subunit ribosomal RNA
Rfam family: Bacterial large subunit ribosomal RNA
Source: RNAcentral
CUAAGCAGUGAGGUGUGGUAUGAGUCAAAUGCUUAUAUCUAUAACAUUGAGCUGUGAUGGGGAGCGAAGUUUAGUAGCGAAGUUAGUGACGUCACACUGCCAAGAAAAGCUUCUAGCGUUUAAACAUACUCUACCCGUACCGCAAACCGACACAGGUAGUCGAGGCGAGUAGCCUCAGGUGAGCGAGAGAACUCUCGUUAAGGAACUCGGCAAAAUGACCCCGUAACUUCGGGAGAAGGGGUGCUGAUUU